This 838-nucleotide ribosomal RNA is filed under the name uncultured archaeon. RNAcentral describes it as "bacterial SSU rRNA". It matches the Rfam family "Archaeal small subunit ribosomal RNA", at positions 21 to 859 of the family's 1478-position model. The record is from RNAcentral.
AGGUUACUGCUAUCGGUGUUCGCCUAAGCCAUGCGAGUCAUAUGUUCGUAAGAACAUGGCGUACUGCUCAGUAACACGUGGAUAACCUGCCCUUGGGUCCGGCAUAACCCCGGGAAACUGGGGAUAAUUCCGGAUAACGCACAUAUGCUGGAAUGCUUUAUGCGUAAAAUGGAUUCGUCUGCCCAAGGAUGGGUCUGCGGCCUAUCAGGUAGUAGUGGGUGUAAUGUACCUACUAGCCUACGACGGGUGCGGGUUGUGAGAGCAAGAGCCCGGAGAUGGAUUCUGAGGCAUGAAUCCAGGCCCUACGGGGCGCAGCAGGCGCGAAAACUUUACAAUGCGGGAAACCGUGAUAAGGGGACACCGAGUGCCAGCAUCCUAUGCUGGCUGUCCGGGUGUGUAAAAUACACCUGUUAGCAAGGGCCGGGCAAGACCGGUGCCAGCCGCCGCGGUAACACCGGCGGCCCGAGUGGUGAUCGUGAUUAUUGGGUCUAAAGGGUCCGUAGCCGGUUUGGUCAGUCCUCCGGGAAACCUGACAGCUUAACUGUUAGGCUUUCGGAGGAUACUGCCAGACUUGGAACCGGGAGAGGUAAGAGGUACUACAGGGGUAGGAGUGAAAUCUUGUAAUCCCUGUGGGACCACCUGUGGCGAAGGCGUCUUACCAGAACGGGUUCGACGGUGAGGGACGAAAGCUGGGGGCACGAACCGGAUUAGAUACCCGGGUAGUCCCAGCCGUAAACGAUGCUCGCUAGGUGUCAGGCAUGGCGCGACCGUGUCUGGUGCCGCAGGGAAGCCGUGAAGCGAGCCACCUGGGAAGUACGGCCGCAAGGCUGAAACUUAA